CCUACGGGCGGCUGCAGUGGGGAAUCUUAGACAAUGGGCGCAAGCCUGAUCUAGCCAUGCCGCGUGAGCGAUGAAGGCCUUAGGGUUGUAAAGCUCUUUCAGGGGGGAAGAUAAUGACUGUACCCCCAGAAGAAGCCCCGGCUAACUCCGUGCCAGCAGCCGCGGUAAUACGGAGGGGGCUAGCGUUGUUCGGAAUUACUGGGCGUAAAGCGCACGUAGGCGGACUGGAAAGUCAGAGGUGAAAUCCCAGAGCUCAACUUUGGAACUGCCUUUGAAACUCUCAGUCUUGAGGUCGAGAGAGGUGAGUGGAAUUCCGAGUGUAGAGGUGAAAUUCGUAGAUAUUCGGAGGAACACCAGUGGCGAAGGCGGCUCACUGGCUCGAUACUGACGCUGAGGUGCGAAAGCGUGGGGAGCAAACAGGAUUAGAUACCCUUGUAGUC
Molecule: ribosomal RNA, 440 nt
Filed under: Weissella confusa
Lineage: Bacteria; Bacillati; Bacillota; Bacilli; Lactobacillales; Lactobacillaceae
Description: bacterial SSU rRNA
Rfam family: Bacterial small subunit ribosomal RNA
Source: RNAcentral